Long non-coding RNA from Daucus carota subsp. sativus, 1137 nucleotides. RefSeq lists it as uncharacterized. The record is from RefSeq and is a predicted model, not a curated record. The transcript is spliced from 4 exons. NCBI's taxonomy places the organism in Eukaryota, Viridiplantae, Streptophyta, Magnoliopsida, Apiales, Apiaceae.
UCUAGGUGUGUAAUUUCACGUGCAAUCUAAACCAUUCUUUCUCUUACCAAACUUCCACGCGUCGCUCAUCCCUCCCAGAUUCUCUUACCCCAAAUCAUCUUCCUACAUUCAAAUUUUUCAAAAUUAAUACGACUGUUGCAGUUUUUCAGAUGUAUUUGCUUCAGCUGUAAUAGAUGGAUUCUCUUGAAAAGGCUCCUCUCAAGUCACCGGCACCGAAAUUGGUUAAUGGCAGGGAUGGUUCUAGAGGAUGGAUGGUCAUCUAUAAGCUCAACGCUUCAGUUUUUCUCCCUAAUGUCUCUUUCACUUGGCAUUGGAUCACCUUAUCCAUGGCUCAGAGAAAUGAAAUUAGAAAAAAUAGAUUGUUGGGAAGAAAUAUGUAAGACUCUAUCCUACUUCAUUGUCAGAGGAAUUUUGCCUACAUUCUGAAUCAAUACGAUGCAAUUCUAGCAAGGUAUGCCUUCCUUAGACUCUGUGUAGAAGCAUAUAUAUAAUACAAAGACCUAAACUGGGGACCUUUGAAUUUAUUUUGGAUUAAUUUUAUGAGGGUAGGAUAUUAAGGUUCCCAUUUAAGUUUGAUUCCAUACAACAUAGAAAUCAUUUAUACAUUCUGUCUAAAUGAAUUAUAAUAUAUUUUGUGUAAUUUAUUUGUAAAUAUAUAUUAUUUGUAUUUUGUUUGUAAUUAUGUUACAAGAAUAAUUUAUAGUAUAUUCAUCUUAAUUAUAUUAAUUCCAGUCCUUUUUAAUUCCCUAUCCUGUUAGGAAGUAUUAAGAGAUUUCCACUCACAAAAAUAUUAGGAAAAUGUUAUAGGAAUUAUAUUUAAAGAAUUUGCCCCAAUUUCCAUUUGCACAAACAGCUUCAGUCACAUAACACUGAAAACUUCUAUUUGCUUGAUUUCUUUCUUGAUUCCUGUCUUUAAUAAAUUUAUAUUUGCUUGAUUUCUUUCUUGAUUCCUGUCUUUAUUAAAUUUCUAUUUUCUUGAUUUCUUUCUUGAUUCCCGUCUUUAAUAAAUUUCUAUUUGCUUGAUUUCUUUCUUGAUUCAUGUUAUUAACAGUUUAUAAUAAAUUUCAUUUUCUAAAUGAAGAGGGUUUUUAACCGUUUGACUAAGAGGCUUUCUACUGUGUUUAACUCUGCUUAUAA